AACCUGGUUGAUCCUGCCAGUGGUCAUAUGCUUGUCUCAAAGAUUAAGCCAUGCAUGUCUAAGCAUAAACUGAACUAAAGUGAAGCCGCGAAUAGCUCAUUACAACAGCCGUUGUUUCUUGGAUCUCCGCAAUACUUGGAUAACUGAGGUAAUUCUUGAGCUAAUACACGCAAUCGAGCUCCGACCGAAAGGGACGAGCGCAUUUAUUAGAACAAAACCAGUCAGUGCUUGCACUGUGGUUUGGUGAAUCUGAAUAACUGAGCAGAUCGCUUCGGUCUCGUACCGGCGAUGUAUCCUUCAAGUGUCUGCCUUAUCAACUUUCGAUGGUAGUUUAUGUGCCUACCAUGGUUGUAACGGGUAACGGAAAAUCAGGGUUCGAUUCCGGAGAGGGAGCCCUAGAAACAGCUACCACUUCUAAGGAAGGCAGCAGGCGCGCAAAUUACCCAAUCUCGGCACGAGGAGGUAGUGACGAAAAAUAACGAGAUAAUUCGCUCAUGCGAAUUAUCAUCGGAAUGAGAACAAUGUAAACCUUUUAACGAGGACCUAGCGGAGGGCAAGUCUGGUGCCAGCAGCCGCGGUAAUUCCAGCUCCGCCAGUGUAUAUCUAUGCUGCUGCGGUUAAAAAGCUCGUAGUUGGAUCUGCGUGCUAGAGACUGGUCCACCCUAUGGGUGUGCACUGGAUCUCAGCACUGAAUCGUUGGUUUUCUCUUUAUGCCUUUAACCGGGUGUACUGAGUGACUAACAUGUUUACUUUGAAAAAAUUAGAGUGCUUAAAACAAGCGAUUCGCUUGAAUAUUCGUGCAUGGAAUAAUAGAAUAGGACCUUGGUUCUAUUUUGUUGGUUUUCGGAACACAAGGUAAUGAUUAAGAGGGACAGACGGGGGCAUUCAUAUUUCGACGUUAGAGGUGAAAUUCUUGGAUCGUCGAAAGAUGCACUACUGCGAAAGCAUUUGCCAAGAAUGUUUUUAUUUUAAUCAAGAACGAAAGUUAGAGGUUCGAAGGCGAUCAGAUACCGCCCUAGUUCUAACCGUAAACGAUGCCAACUAGCGAUCUACUGGUGUUACUUAAGACCGAGUAGGGAGCUUCCCGGAAACGAAAGUUUUCCGGUUCCGGGGGAAGUAUGGUUGCAAAGCUGAAACUUAAAGGAAUUGACGGAAGGGCACCACCAGGAGUGGAGCCUGCGGCUUAAUUUGACUCAACACGGGAAAACUCACCCGGCCCGGACACCGUAAGGAUUGACAGAUUGAGAGCUCUUUCUUGAUUCGGUGGGUGGUGGUGCAUGGCCGUUCUUAGUUGGUGGAUUGAUUUGUCUGGUUUAUUCCGAUAACGAACGAGACUCCAACCUACUAACUAGUGGGUAGAUCUUUAUGUCUACAACACUUCUUAGAGGGACAAGCGGUGUUUAGCCGCAUGAGAAGGAGCAAUAACAGGUCUGUGAUGCCCUUAGAUGUCCGGGGCUGCACGCGCGCUACACUGAAGGAAUCAACGUGCUAGAAAACCUUGUUUGACAUGGCUAGGUAACCCCUUGAAAAUCCUUCGUGAUUGGGAUCGGGACUUGCAAAUGUGUCCCUUGAACGAGGAAUUCCCAGUAAGUGCGGGUCAUAAGCUCGCGCUGAUUACGUCCCUGCCCUUUGUACACACCGCCCGUCGCUGCCCGGGACUGAGCCGUUUCGAGAAGACUGGGGAUUGCUGACUCAGGGCCUUCACGGGCUUUUUGUCGGUGAAAACCAUUUUAAUCGCAGCGGCUUGAACCGGGCAAAAGUCGUAACAAGGUUUCCGUAGGUGAACCUGCGGAAGGAUCA
RNAcentral lists this ribosomal RNA (1800 nucleotides) under uncultured eukaryote. RNAcentral's name for it is "partial small subunit ribosomal RNA". It matches the Rfam family "Eukaryotic small subunit ribosomal RNA". The record is from RNAcentral.